RNAcentral lists this transfer RNA (72 nucleotides) under Cavia porcellus (domestic guinea pig). It matches the Rfam family "tRNA". Rfam says of the family: Transfer RNA (tRNA) molecules are approximately 80 nucleotides in length. The record is from Rfam by way of RNAcentral. Lineage: Eukaryota; Metazoa; Chordata; Mammalia; Rodentia; Caviidae.
AAGGAUGUAGCUCAGUGGUAGAACACAUGCUUACAGCAUGUAGGGUUCUGGGUUCAAUCCCCAGCUCCAUUU